AGUGGCGCACGGGUGAGGAACGCGUAGGUAAUCUACCCUCUGGCGGGGGACAACACUCCGAAAGGAAUGCUAAUACCGCAUAAGACCACGCUUACUACGGUGAGAGUGGUAAAAGGCGCCUCAAAGCGUCACCAGAGGAUGAGCCUGCGUCCCAUCAGCUUGUUGGUGAGGUAAUGGCUUACCAAGGCUAAGACGGGUAGCUGGUCUGAGAGGAUGAUCAGCCACACUGGUACUGGAACACGGACCAGACUCCUACGGGAGGCAGCAGUGAGGAAUAUUGGGCAAUGGGCGAAAGCCUGACCCAGCCACGCCGCGUGUGUGAUGAAGGCCUUCGGGUCGUAAAGCACUGUGGGGAGAGACGAACAUGCGCAUGAGGAAAUGCUUGCGCACUGACGGUACCUCCUUAGCAAGCACCGGCUAACUCUGUGCCAGCAGCCGCGGUAAUACAGAGGGUGCAAACGU
This 462-nucleotide ribosomal RNA is filed under the name uncultured bacterium. RNAcentral describes it as "bacterial SSU rRNA". It matches the Rfam family "Bacterial small subunit ribosomal RNA", at positions 94 to 541 of the family's 1533-position model. The record is from RNAcentral.